This 460-nucleotide ribosomal RNA is filed under the name uncultured bacterium. RNAcentral's name for it is "partial 16S ribosomal RNA". It matches the Rfam family "Bacterial small subunit ribosomal RNA", at positions 338 to 795 of the family's 1533-position model. The record is from RNAcentral.
CCUACGGGUGGCAGCAGUGAGGAAUAUUGGUCAAUGGACGAGAGUCUGAACCAGCCAAGUAGCGUGAAGGAUGACUGCCCUAUGGGUUGUAAACUUCUUGUAUAUGGGAAUAAAAUGUUCCACGUGUGGGAUUUUGUAUGUACCAUAUGAAUAAGGAUCGGCUAACUCCGUGCCAGCAGCCGCGGUAAUACGGAGGAUCCGAGCGUUAUCCGGAUUUAUUGGGUUUAAAGGGAGCGUAGGUGGAUUGUUAAGUCAGUUGUGAAAGUUUGCGGCUCAACCGUAAAAUUGCAGUUGAAACUGGCAGUCUUGAGUACAGUAGAGGUGAGCGGAAUUCGUGGUGUAGCGGUGAAAUGCUUAGAUAUCACGAAGAACUCCGAUUGCGAAGGCAGUUCACUGGACUGCAACUGACACUGAGGCUCGAAAGUGUGGGUAUCAAACAGGAUUAGAUACCCGUGUAGUC